Molecule: ribosomal RNA, 207 nt
Filed under: Bacillus thuringiensis
Lineage: Bacteria; Bacillati; Bacillota; Bacilli; Caryophanales; Bacillaceae
Description: partial 16S ribosomal RNA
Rfam family: Bacterial small subunit ribosomal RNA
Source: RNAcentral
UUUACUCCUACGGGAGGCAGCAGUCAGGGAAUCUUCCGCAAUGGACGAAAGUCUGACGGAGCAACGCCGCGUGAGUGAUGAAGGCUUUCGGGUCGUAAAACUCUGUUGUUAGGGAAGAACAAGUGCUAGUUGAAUAAGCUGGCACCUUGACGGUACCUAACCAGAAAGCCACGGCUAACUACGUGCGCAGCAGCCGCGGUAAUAAAA